RNAcentral lists this non-coding RNA (24 nucleotides) under Arabidopsis thaliana (thale cress). Lineage: Eukaryota; Viridiplantae; Streptophyta; Magnoliopsida; Brassicales; Brassicaceae. The record is from RNAcentral.
AUUACAACCGUCAAGACACUCGGG